UAAAGCAGCCGAGUAAAAUAAAAUAGUACCUUCACUAAAAUUAAUACAUAGUUCUAGAAAAACUUGCACCAUGUUUGGUUGAGUGUAAUGGUUUCCGUAGGUCCCACUUAAUCCUAUGUUUGGUCCGGUGUAAUGCCCUAAUACAGGCCUAUUACGUUAUGGACGUAUUUCUAAAAUUCUCUGCUUCAAGGCCGAUUUGUAUUCCCUUCCAAAAGCAAGGAUUAGCUAUUCAGUCUCUAUUUUACCCUCCCAAGCUGAAAUCAACCUCCACCCUCUCCCUCCCAACAUCAACAGAAGCUACCAGCGAACCAAACUUCCACCCGCUCCCGUUUCACUUUCAUCUUGGCAUCUUUCGCUGACUCCACCGUCUCAGAUCUCCGGCCCAAUUGAAGCUGCAAUUUAUUGUAGCUUCUAUUUUUUCCUGUAAGGGAAGUGUGGUUGUAGUGGCUUCUCAAAUAUAUAGGCCUAUUGAAAAAGUCUCAGGGCCAUUAAUUAUUGAUUGGGUGAUUGGUCAGCAUACUCAUAUACUGAAAUGGACAAGAAGAGCAUUGGAACUUGAGGAUUGGGAGUCGUUGUCAUUUCAUCAAAGGAAGGUAGCAUCGAUAGUUGAAGUUUUUAGGAUAUUGGAGGAGUUAUUGAUUUUGCUUUUACAUCUACUCCUGUUUGUGCAAAGUACUGUGUGAAGCGUAUAUGUUGGUGCUUUUAAUCAAAUAAGUUGGUUCUUUCACAUGCCAUAUUCAAUAUCUUGAAUGGGAGUCUUCAAAUGGUAUGGGAGACUACUUUGGGGAAAUAUAUGAAGAUUUAAGACAAAAAUUCAAUUGUGAUGUCGUAGUUGAUGCACGGCUUUCCUCUACAUAACGGACUUUCAAAGUUAAACUAUUUUAUCUAGUUUUUAUUUGGAGACCAUGAAUGGGAGUCUUCAAAUGGUAUGAGAGACUGCUUUGGGGAAAUAUAUGAAGAUUUAAGACAAAAAUUCAAUUGUGAUGUCGUAGUUGAUGCACGGCUUUCCUCUACAUAACGGACUUUCAAAGUUAAACUAUUUUAUCUAGUUUUCAUUUGGAGACCAUGAUAUCUUUUUAAAAUUAUUUCAAAAUAUCUUUAUACAAUGUAAUUUUAAAGAUAACUUAUUAUUGUUAUUUAAAUA
Long non-coding RNA from Gossypium raimondii (Peruvian cotton), 1144 nucleotides. RefSeq lists it as uncharacterized. The transcript is spliced from 4 exons. The record is from RefSeq and is a predicted model, not a curated record. NCBI's taxonomy places the organism in Eukaryota, Viridiplantae, Streptophyta, Magnoliopsida, Malvales, Malvaceae.